RNAcentral lists this ribosomal RNA (483 nucleotides) under uncultured bacterium. RNAcentral describes it as "partial 16S ribosomal RNA". It matches the Rfam family "Bacterial small subunit ribosomal RNA", at positions 28 to 507 of the family's 1533-position model. The record is from RNAcentral.
AUUGAACGCUGGCGGCAUGCUUUACACAUGCAAGUCGAACGGCAGCGCGGGCUUCGGCCUGGCGGCGAGUGGCGAACGGGUGAGUAAUGCAUCGGAACGUGCCCAGUAGUGGGGGUAGGCCCGGCAAAGGCGGGUUUAUUCCCCCAACCGACCGGAGGGUGAAGGGGGGGGACCAAAAGCCCCGCGCUAUUUGGGCGGCCGAUGUCGGAUUAGCUAGUUGGUGGGGUAAAGGCUUACCAAGGCGACGAUCCGUAGCUGGUCUGAGAGGACGACCAGCCACACUGGGACUGAGACACGGCCCAGACUCCUACGGGAGGCAGCAGUGGGGAAUUUUGGACAAUGGGGGCAACCCUGAUCCAGCCAUGCCGCGUGCGGGAAGAAGGCCUUCGGGUUGUAAACCGCUUUUGUUCGGGAAGAAAUCCUCUGGGCUAAUACCCCGGGGGGAUGACGGUACCGGAAGAAUAAGCACCGGCUAACUACGUG